Molecule: ribosomal RNA, 468 nt
Filed under: uncultured bacterium
Lineage: Bacteria
Description: partial 16S ribosomal RNA
Rfam family: Bacterial small subunit ribosomal RNA
Source: RNAcentral
GACGAACGCUGGCGGCGUGCUUAACACAUGCAAGUCGAACGGAAAGGCCCUGCUUUUGUGGGGUGCUCGAGUGGCGAACGGGUGAGUAACACGUGAGUAACCUGCCCUUGACUUUGGGAUAACUUCAGGAAACUGGGGCUAAUACCGGAUAGGAGCUCCUGCUGCAUGGUGGGGGUUGGAAAGUUUCGGCGGUUGGGGAUGGACUCGCGGCUUAUCAGCUUGUUGGUGGGGUAGUGGCUUACCAAGGCUUUGACGGGUAGCCGGCCUGAGAGGAUGACCGGCCACAUUGGGACUGAGAUGAGGCCCAGACUCCUACGGGAGGCAGCAGUGGGGAAUAUUGCACAAUGGGCUGAAGCCUGAUGCAGCAACGCCGCGUGCGGGGUGACGGCCUUCGGGUUGUAAACCGCUUUCGCCUGUGACGAAGCGUGAGUGACGGUAAUGGGUAAAGAAGCACCGGCUAACUACGUG